RNAcentral lists this ribosomal RNA (467 nucleotides) under uncultured bacterium. RNAcentral describes it as "partial 16S ribosomal RNA". It matches the Rfam family "Bacterial small subunit ribosomal RNA", at positions 29 to 507 of the family's 1533-position model. The record is from RNAcentral.
ACGAACGCUGGCGGCGUGCUUAACACAUGCAAGUCGAACGGAAAGGCCCUGCUUUUGUGGGGUGCUCGAGUGGCGAACGGGUGAGUAACACGUGAGUAACCUGCCCUUGACUUUGGGAUAACUUCAGGAAACUGGGGCUAAUACCGGAUAGGAGCUCCUGCUGCAUGGUGGGGGUUGGAAAGUUUCGGCGGUUGGGGAUGGACUCGCGGCUUAUCAGCUUGUUGGUGGGGUAGUGGCUUACCAAGGCUUUGACGGGUAGCCGGCCUGAGAGGGUGACCGGCCACAUUGGGACUGAGAUACGGCCCAGACUCCUACGGGAGGCAGCAGUGGGGAAUAUUGCACAAUGGGCGGAAGCCUGAUGCAGCAACGCCGCGUGCGGGAUGACGGCCUUCGGGUUGUAAACCGCUUUCGCCUGUGACGAAGCGUGAGUGACGGUAAUGGGUAAAGAAGCACAGGCUAACUACGUG